Daktulosphaira vitifoliae (grape phylloxera) is the source of this 772-nucleotide long non-coding RNA. RefSeq lists it as uncharacterized. The transcript is spliced from 3 exons. The record is from RefSeq and is a predicted model, not a curated record. Lineage: Eukaryota; Metazoa; Arthropoda; Insecta; Hemiptera; Phylloxeridae.
UGUAAAAACAUCGAAUUUAUGUUUCUACGCAUUUUUGAAUAGACUUUUACAAUCUCGUUACUUAAUUAUUGACACAUAUUAAACAGAUUAUAGAUACAAACAUAUUGCCGUGCUGACAUUGUGAGUUUUAGACCUGAGUUAUACUUUUAAUGAACACUUAACCAAGUAUUUAAGUAGUCAAUGUGGUUAUGGUAGAUAGCUUUUUACAGAAAAGGGCAACUUUAAUAUAAUACGUAUAUUGUUCAACUAUAUAGCUCAGUCGUUAUUGCAAGUUAGUUACUAAACAAUUCCUUUAGACCACUUGUCAUAUGGUGUACACAUGAUUGACCUAGACUUGACAUGAAGAUGGAUUAAUGGUUCUCUAGUCGUGAAUAUUUUUUGUGGAAGUCAAUAAGUAUUAAAUAUUCUCAAAGCAAAGAACGUAAGGUAUAGGUAAAUACACAAAAUGCAUACAAAAAAAUAUGCAGAUGCGGUAAAGGUUCAAGAAGGUUAAAGGAGUGCUUCUAACAAAAUUUCCUGAAGGUGAGCCUAUUAUUUGACUAAAAAUUAAAUAUGAACGUGAGAUAUGAAUCGACAACUAAUCAUCACCACUAAAUUAAUUAAUGAAGAAUAUGAUCGGAAUCUGCAUUGGAAAUUGUAUUCAUUUCAUUUCUGUAUACCAGAGGUAAACUAUCGCAUGUCAUAUAUUUUUUUUAAAUUAAUUGAAACUUCAUUUUCAAUCUUCACACAUCUGGUGUACAUGUUAAUUUCUUUUAUUUAUAGUUAAAAUUAU